RNAcentral lists this ribosomal RNA (500 nucleotides) under uncultured bacterium. RNAcentral describes it as "partial 16S ribosomal RNA". It matches the Rfam family "Bacterial small subunit ribosomal RNA", at positions 30 to 523 of the family's 1533-position model. The record is from RNAcentral.
AUUGAACGCUGGCGGCAUGCCUUACACAUGCAAGUCGAACGGCAGCACGGGAGCAAUCCUGGUGGCGAGUGGCGAACGGGUGAGUAAUAUAUCGGAACGUGCCCAGUCGUGGGGGAUAACGUAGCGAAAGCUACGCUAAUACCGCAUACGAUCUAUGGAUGAAAGCGGGGGAUCGCAAGACCUCGCGCGAUUGGAGCGGCCGAUAUCAGAUUAGGUAGUUGGUGAGGUAAAGGCGCACCAAGCCGACGAUCUGUAGCUGGUCUGAGAGGACGACCAGCCACACUGGGACUGAGACACGGCCCAGACUCCUACGGGAGGCAGCAGUGGGGAAUUUUGGACAAUGGGCGCAAGCCUGAUCCAGCAAUGCCGCGUGCAGGAUGAAGGCCUUCGGGUUGUAAACUGCUUUUGUACGGAACGAAACGGCGAGCUCUAAUACAGUUUGCUAAUGACGGUACCGUAAGAAUAAGCACCGGCUAACUACGUGCCAGCAGCCGCUGUAA